GACGAACGCUGGCGGCGUGCUUAACACAUGCAAGUCGAACGGAAAGGCCCUGCUUUUGUGGGGUGCUCGAGUGGCGAACGGGUGAGUAACACGUGAGUAACCUGCCCUUGACUUUGGGAUAACUUCAGGAAACUGGGGCUAAUACCGGAUAGGAGCUCCUGCUGCAUGGUGGGGGUUGGAAAGUUUCGGCGGUUGGGGAUGGACGCGCGGCUUAUCAGCUUGUUGGUGGGGUAGUGGCCUACCAAGGCUUUGACGGAUAGCCGGCCUGAGAGGGUGACCGGCGACAUUGGGACUGAGGGAGGGCCCAGAGUCGUACGAGGGGCAGCAGUGGGGAGUAUUGCACAGUGGGCGGAAGCCUGAGGCAGCAGCGCCGCGGGCGGGAUGACGGCCUUCGGGUUGUGAACCGCUUUCGCCUGUGACGAAGCGUGAGUGACGGUAAUGGGUGAAGAAGCACCGGCUAACUACGUG
This 468-nucleotide ribosomal RNA is filed under the name uncultured bacterium. RNAcentral's name for it is "partial 16S ribosomal RNA". It matches the Rfam family "Bacterial small subunit ribosomal RNA", at positions 28 to 507 of the family's 1533-position model. The record is from RNAcentral.